Non-coding RNA from Gopherus flavomarginatus (Mexican gopher tortoise), 82 nucleotides. The record is from the annotation of a RefSeq genome assembly. NCBI's taxonomy places the organism in Eukaryota, Metazoa, Chordata, Testudines, Testudinidae.
GUAGUUGUGGCCGAAUGGUUAAGGCGAUGGGCUAGAAAUCCAUUGAGGUCUCCCUGCGCAGGUUCAAAUCCUGUCAACUACG